CAGUCGCCGCGGUAAUACGUAGGUCCCGAGCGUUGUCCGGAUUUAUUGGGCGUAAAGGGAGCGCAGGCGGUUUAGUAAGUCUGAAGUUAAAGGCAUUGGCUCAACCAAUGUAUGCUUUGGAAACUGUUAGACUUGAGUGCAGAAGGGGAGAGUGGAAUUCCAUGUGUAGCGGUGAAAUGCGUAGAUAUAUGGAGGAACACCGGUGGCGAAAGCGGCUUUCUGGACGAAAACUGACGCUGAGGCGCGAAAGCCAGGGGAGCGAACGGGAUUAGAUACCCAGGUAGUCCCUGUCUCUUAUACC
This 301-nucleotide ribosomal RNA is filed under the name uncultured bacterium. RNAcentral's name for it is "partial 16S ribosomal RNA". It matches the Rfam family "Bacterial small subunit ribosomal RNA", at positions 509 to 808 of the family's 1533-position model. The record is from RNAcentral.